RNAcentral lists this long non-coding RNA (795 nucleotides) under Sorghum bicolor (sorghum). RNAcentral describes it as "long non-coding RNA (SBIC_LNC012648)". Lineage: Eukaryota; Viridiplantae; Streptophyta; Magnoliopsida; Poales; Poaceae. The record is from RNAcentral.
GUCCCUCUUUUGUGGUAUUUCUGGAUCCUUACCAAGGCAGUAAUGGUGUAUGCCUUCUCUCAAAGUAUGUGGUAUUUUUGGUAUGAGGCAUAAUGGCAUUGCCUUCUCUCUCACCCUACUCUAAUAAGGUUUUGAUAUGUGGAGCUCAUAGGUGGGAGACAGCUAAUACAUAUUUACAAGACAUUUAUUGCAUAGUCAAACCAUGGAUCCAGAAGAACAAGUCAAUAAGUCAAAUCAAGAUAUGCAUGUGUGGCGAAUGAAUGGUGUAUGGUGAUGAUGGUGAUAACAAUGGUGAAAGUCUAAUUCUACUUGUGCUCUUUUGAGGGGAUACAUAUCUUUCUUGCUCUUAUGAAACUUUUUGAGGAGAAUGAGAUGCUCUAUAUUUUCUUUUUCUUUUCUCUUAGGUGGGUAUCUUGUAACCCUAAUUCUACUGUCGGACACUUGUCCAUUUUUACCUCUCAUCUCACUUUUUCUUUUCUUUUGAGGUUCCGGACACUUGCCCCUUUUUAUUUCCUCGUAUCUUCUCUCUUUUUUUUAGAGCACUCACCUCUUUUAAUAAUGUAGCAAGUGGUAGUAACCGAAAUAUCAUGAGCAUUUAUUUCAAAGGGGAAACAGAAAUAGGAGAAUGUUUUUGGCUAUUCUCUCCCGGAUUAAGAGUAGAAUAUUUUUGGGUGGUUCUGGAGAUGGAAAUGGGUGGAUAUAUGUGGAUGCGUACUUCCGAAGUAGAAGCAGCAUGUGUGGGUGAACGUGCAAGUGAAUCUUGAUUUAACCACAUGACAAGCUCCUAAGGGUCUA